Molecule: ribosomal RNA, 254 nt
Filed under: uncultured bacterium
Lineage: Bacteria
Description: partial 16S ribosomal RNA
Rfam family: Bacterial small subunit ribosomal RNA
Source: RNAcentral
UACGAAGGGGGCUAGCGUUGCUCGGAAUCACUGGGCGUAAAGCGCACGUAGGCGGAUUGUUAAGUCAGGGGUGAAAUCCUGGAGCUCAACUCCAGAACUGCCUUUGAUACUGGCGAUCUUCGAGUCCGGGAGAGGUGAGUGGAACUCCGAGUGUAGAGGUGAAAUUCGUAGAUAUUCGGAAGAACACCAGUGGCGAAGGCGGCUCACUGGCCCGGUACUGACGCUGAGGUGCGAAAGCGUGGGGAGCAAACAGG